GUCAGCAUGGCCGAGCGGUCCAAGGCGCUGCGUUCAGGUCGCAGUCCGGUCUUCCGGGCGUGGGUUCGAAUCCCACUUCCGACA
RNAcentral lists this transfer RNA (84 nucleotides) under Dermacentor silvarum. RNAcentral's name for it is "transfer RNA leucine (anticodon CAG)". It matches the Rfam family "tRNA". From Rfam's summary of the family: Transfer RNA (tRNA) molecules are approximately 80 nucleotides in length. Their secondary structure includes four short double-helical elements and three loops (D, anti-codon, and T loops). Lineage: Eukaryota; Metazoa; Arthropoda; Arachnida; Ixodida; Ixodidae. The record is from RNAcentral.